This 253-nucleotide ribosomal RNA is filed under the name uncultured bacterium. RNAcentral describes it as "partial 16S ribosomal RNA". It matches the Rfam family "Bacterial small subunit ribosomal RNA", at positions 524 to 776 of the family's 1533-position model. The record is from RNAcentral.
UACGUAGGGUGCAAGCGUUAAUCGGAAUUUCUGGGCGUAAAGCGUGCGCAGGCGGUGAUGUAAGACAGUUGUGAAAUCCCCGGGCUCAACCUGGGAACUGCAUCUGUGACUGCAUCGCUGGAGUGCGGCAGAGGGGGAUGGAAUUCCGCGUGUAGCAGUGAAAUGCGUAGAUAUGCGGAGGAACACCGAUGGCGAAGGCAAUCCCCUGGGCCUGCACUGACGCUCAUGCACGAAAGCGUGGGGAGCAAACAGG